This 45-nucleotide small RNA is filed under the name Candidatus Moduliflexus flocculans. RNAcentral describes it as "Acido-Lenti-1 RNA". It matches the Rfam family "Acido-Lenti-1 RNA". Lineage: Bacteria; Candidatus Moduliflexota; Candidatus Moduliflexia; Candidatus Moduliflexales; Candidatus Moduliflexaceae. The record is from Rfam by way of RNAcentral.
CCCAGGGCUGUGCCCUGGGCUAAUAUGAUUCGCGCCGUUGGCGCG